UUGAUUCGAGCUCCGGCUCGACUCCUCCCACCCAAUGUGUACCUACCUCUGUUGCUUUGGCGGGCCGCGGUCCUCCGCACCGGCGCCCUUCGGGGGGCUGGCCAGCGCCCGCCAGAGGACCAUAAAACUCCAGUCAGUGAACUUUGCAGUCUGAGAAACAAGUUAAUAAACUAAAACUUUCAACAACGGAUCUCUUGGUUCUGGCAUCGAUGAAGAACGCAGCGAAAUGCGAUAAGUAAUGUGAAUUGCAGAAUUCAGUGAAUCAUCGAAUCUUUGAACGCACAUUGCGCCCCUUGGUAUUCCGAGGGGCAUGCCUGUUCGAGCGUCAUUUCAACCCUCAAGCUCUGCUUGGUAUUGGGCUCCGUCCUCCACGGACGCGCCUUAAAGACCUCGGCGGUGGCGUCUUGCCUCAAGCGUAGUAGAAAACACCUCGCUUUGGAGCGCACGGCGUCGCCCGCCGGACGAACCUUU
RNAcentral lists this ribosomal RNA (471 nucleotides) under Neofusicoccum kwambonambiense. RNAcentral describes it as "eukaryotic LSU rRNA". The stretch from base 175 to 328 matches the Rfam family "5.8S ribosomal RNA". Lineage: Eukaryota; Fungi; Ascomycota; Dothideomycetes; Botryosphaeriales; Botryosphaeriaceae. The record is from RNAcentral.